This 268-nucleotide ribosomal RNA is filed under the name uncultured prokaryote. RNAcentral describes it as "partial 16S ribosomal RNA". It matches the Rfam family "Bacterial small subunit ribosomal RNA", at positions 524 to 792 of the family's 1533-position model. The record is from RNAcentral.
UACGUAGGGGGCUAGCGUUAUCCGGAUUUACUGGGCGUAAAGGGUGCGUAGGCGGUCUUUCAAGUCAGGAGUGAAAGGCUACGGCUCAACCGUAGUAAGCUCUUGAAACUGUAAGACUUGAGUGCAGGAGAGGAGAGUGGAAUUCCUAGUGUAGCGGUGAAAUGCGUAGAGAUGUGGAGGAACACCAGUGGCGAAGGCGCUUCUCUGGACUGUAACUGACGCUGAGGCUCGAAAGCGUGGGGAGCAAACAGGAUUAGAUACCCUGGUA